AAGGGAAUGUUGGGAUUAUUCGGCUGCAGGAUGUUGUUGUUAUUAUUACCGGGAAAAUUCAACGGGUCAUUAGGAAACAGAUUGUUGUUAUUGGUCGGAUUGAAAGGAACAUUGGGAAUAUUGUUGUUUAAAGGAUUGUUAUUGGGGAUGUUGUUAUUGGGAAAGUUGUUGGGAAAGUUGUUAUUGGGAAUGUUGUUAUUGGGAAAGUUAUUAUUGGGAAAGUUGUUGUUGGGAAAGUUGUUAUUGGGAAUGUUGUUAUUUGGAAUGUUGUUAAAAGGGUUAUUGUUGAUGGGGAUGGUGUUGAUUGGCUGCACGGGAAUCGUGGGAUUCUGGGCUCCUAUCGGUGGGACUAAGUUGGGAGUCUGUGGACCGUUAUUGACGUUAACCGAGGGCUGGAUAUUCGAUGGAAAAGUGUUGAUUGGCUGCUGUGGAUUAAAUGGCUGCUGCGGAAUGAAAUUGUUGAUUGGCUGUUGUGGAUUCGUCGGAUUGAUUCCGGGUAUCUGCCCGCCAAUAACCGGCUGAAACUGGCCUCCAAUUGUCGGUUGUUGACCAAUCAAAUUGGUUGACUGCAGCCCGAUCUGACUUGACUGGGCACCACACUGUGGCAUUUGUGUCAAUCCACCAGCAUUGAGCCUGAUUGAUCGCGGUAGUAUAAGGCAAUGCCUUGGCAGUCUUUGCGGCUCAGUUGACCCGUGUUGAGCAGCGGUCUUCCCAGGCUCUGAAUAACCGGAGCGCCGUUCCCGCUGAAUUGGUUGGGAUCAAUGAGAGUGAUGGAAUUGUAAUCAAAGUCGGGGUCAAAGCACACCCUGCUAGGGUCGUAUUGGUUGAGAGGCACAUACGGCUGUACGCGGCUUUCCACGUUGGAGGGAUUAAUUUGGAUAAACUGCGCGCGGUUGUUCGGUUUGUUGUGCUCGGACCGUAGUCCGAUCAGACUGGCCAGCAUGCGCAUCACGGCCUUGACGCUUCCCAUGCAACCGCUAUUUCCACCCUGUAUGCUCAUGUGCUGACCUUGUAGUCCAAGCUGACCGGCGAUCAUUCCGGGAUAGGAAAAACAUGUUGGAGAAGGAUUUUCUGCCCACAGAAAAUGGUAAAACAAUCCGUUCCCUGAAAUGAUAUGUGCAGCAAGCGCAUGUUCCUGUGGUACCCUACCCUUCUGUAUUAUAAAAGUUGCACGGUGCAGGUGAUCGAAUACGGAACGAACGUCAGAUUCCCGGACAAUCUCAACUGGUUACAACCAAAAAAAAAAUUUUAACACGAUUUGCAGAUAAAUUCAGAUAACUCCAUGCCAUAACUGUAACCUAACACCUAAUCUCGCUUCGCACUGUUUCUCCCAUUGCUUCAUUUUCUAGUUUGUUUCCUUUAACGCACCGGUCUGGCUGAUUCGGAGCGGUAUAAAAGGCCUGACUUCGCCCUUAACGAUUAAGUAAGUAUGUAAAGUGUACGCGUUAAAACAUUUAUGUUUUACAAAGAAACUGCGUUGUAAAACAAUCUAUAGUAGAUUAUUAUGUAAACUACGGUUUAA
Long non-coding RNA from Paramacrobiotus metropolitanus, 1522 nucleotides. RefSeq lists it as uncharacterized. The record is from RefSeq and is a predicted model, not a curated record. The transcript has 3 exons. NCBI's taxonomy places the organism in Eukaryota, Metazoa, Tardigrada, Eutardigrada, Parachela, Macrobiotidae.